GCCGGGUGUGGUGGCGCGCGCCUGUAAUCCAAGUGACCGGGAGGCUGAGGCUGGUGGAGCGUUUGAGCUCAGGAGCUCUGAGCUGCAGUGGACUGUGCCGAUCGGGUGUCCGCACUAAGUUCGGUAUCGAUAUGGUGAUCCUGGGGCAGCCCGGGACCAGCAGGUCGUCUAAAGAGGGGUGCACCGGUCCAGGUCGGAGACGGAGCAGGUCAAAGCCCCCGUGCCGCUCAGUAGUGGGAUCGCGCCUGUGAAUAGACGCUGCAGUGCAGCCUGAGUAAUACAGCGGGACCCAGUCUCUU
This is an unclassified non-coding RNA of Cottoperca gobio, 299 nucleotides long. It matches the Rfam family "Metazoan signal recognition particle RNA". Rfam says of the family: The signal recognition particle (SRP) is a universally conserved ribonucleoprotein. It is involved in the co-translational targeting of proteins to membranes. The record is from Ensembl. Lineage: Eukaryota; Metazoa; Chordata; Actinopteri; Perciformes; Bovichtidae.